UACGGGGGGGGCAAGCGUUGUUCGGAAUUACUGGGCGUAAAGGGCUCGUAGGUGGCCAACUAAGUCAGACGUGAAAUCCCCAGGCUCAACUUGGGAACUGCGUCUGAUACUGGAUGGCUUGAAUUCGGGAGGGGGAUGCAGAAUUCCAGGUGUAGCGGUGAAAUGCGUAGAUAUCGGGAAGAACACCCGUGGCGAAGGCGGCUCUCUGGGACGGUACUGACGCUGAGACGCGAAAGCGUGGGGAGCGAACAGG
Molecule: ribosomal RNA, 253 nt
Filed under: uncultured bacterium
Lineage: Bacteria
Description: partial 16S ribosomal RNA
Rfam family: Bacterial small subunit ribosomal RNA
Source: RNAcentral